AGACGGGGUGGUUCCCUAGUUACGGGACCCAUAUGUUCCCAGCAGCUCCUGGCCCCUGUCCAUCAGUGCGAGCUGAAUCGGUAGGGCGGGGCUGGAUAGCAAGGUCUCCCAUCGCUCAAGGGGUUGGGGAUUGGGGGGCACACGCGGUUCAUCAGUACCGGAUGCGCAAGCCUGCGCUCGACGCAGGAUCGUCUGUUGACUGAUGCAAGAAUGGGACCACAGCAGAACCAGUCAAAUGACCUGGCUGCACAGUCCUCUAGUGAAUGGCCGGACUUAUGAAAUUCAUGGAAGGACAUACAUCCUCAAAUGCCCAUACAAGACCGUCAGUGAUUAAUCCACAUUUUAUGAUUGACCUAACUAUACUAACUUACUACUGCAGCAUUAAACAACAAAGUUUUCUC
This is a long non-coding RNA of Dermacentor andersoni, 401 nucleotides long. RefSeq lists it as uncharacterized. Lineage: Eukaryota; Metazoa; Arthropoda; Arachnida; Ixodida; Ixodidae. The record is from RefSeq and is a predicted model, not a curated record.